UUGAAGUUCAGGUAACACUGAAUGGAGGACCGAACCGACUUACGUUGAAAAGUGAGCGGAUGAACUGAGGGUAGCGGAGAAAUUCCAAUCGAACCUGGAGAUAGCUGGUUCUCUCCGAAAUAGCUUUAGGGCUAGCCUCAAGUGAUGAUUAUUGGAGGUAGAGCACUGUUUGGACGAGGGGCCCCUCUCGGGUUACCGAAUUCAGACAAACUCCGAAUGCCAAUUAAUUUAACUUGGGAGUCAGAACAUGGGUGAUAAGGUCCGUGUUCGAAAGGGAAACAGCCCAGACCACCAGCUAAGGUCCCAAAAUAUAUGUUAAGUGGAAAAGGAUGUGGCGUUGCCCAGACAACUAGGAUGUUGGCUUAGAAGCAGCCAUCAUUUAAAGAGUGCGUAAUAGCUCACUAGUCGAGUGACACUGCGCCGAAAAUGUACCGGGGCUAAACAUAUUACCGAAGCUGUGGAUUGUCCUUUGGACAAUGGUAGGAGAGCGUUCUAAGGGCGUUGAAGCAUGAUCGUAAGGACAUGUGGAGCGCUUAGAAGUGAGAAUGCCGGUGUGAGUAGCGAAAGACGGGUGAGAAUCCCGUCCACCGAUUGACUAAGGUUUCCAGAGGAAGGCUCGUCCGCUCUGGGUUAGUCGGGUCCUAAGCUGAGGCCGACAGGCGUAGGCGAUGGAUAACAGGUUGAUAUUCCUGUACCACCUAUAAUCGUUUUAAUCGAUGGGGGGACGCAGUAGGAUAGGCGAAGCGUGCGAUUGGAUUGCACGUCUAAGCAGUAAGGCUGAGUAUUAGGCAAAUCCGGUACUCGUUAAGGCUGAGCUGUGAUGGGGAGAAGACAUUGUGUCUUCGAGUCGUUGAUUUCACACUGCCGAGAAAAGCCUCUAGAUAGAAAAUAGGUGCCCGUACCGCAAACCGACACAGGUAGUCAAGAUGAGAAUUCUAAGGUGAGCGAGCGAACUCUCGUUAAGGAACUCGGCAAAAUGACCCCGUAACUUCGGGAGAAGGGGUGCUCUUUAGGGUUAACGCCCAGAAGAGCCGCAGUGAAUAGGCCCAAGCGACUGUUUAUCAAAAACACAGGUCUCUGCUAAACCGUAAGGUGAUGUAUAGGGGCUGACGCCUGCCCGGUGCUGGAAGGUUAAGAGGAGUGGUUAGCUUCUGCGAAGCUACGAAUCGAAGCCCCAGUAAACGGCGGCCGUAACUAUAACGGUCCUAAGGUAGCGAAAUUCCUUGUCGGGUAAGUUCCGACCCGCACGAAAGGCGUAACGAUUUGGGCACUGUCUCAACGAGAGACUCGGUGAAAUCAUAGUACCUGUGAAGAUGCAGGUUACCCGCGACAGGACGGAAAGACCCCGUGGAGCUUUACUGUAGCCUGAUAUUGAAAUUCGGCACAGCUUGUACAGGAUAGGUAGGAGCCUUUGAAACGUGAGCGCUAGCUUACGUGGAGGCGCUGGUGGGAUACUACCCUAGCUGUGUUGGCUUUCUAACCCGCAC
This 1487-nucleotide ribosomal RNA is filed under the name Staphylococcus aureus. RNAcentral describes it as "partial 23S ribosomal RNA". It matches the Rfam family "Bacterial large subunit ribosomal RNA", at positions 745 to 2232 of the family's 2925-position model. Lineage: Bacteria; Bacillati; Bacillota; Bacilli; Caryophanales; Staphylococcaceae. The record is from RNAcentral.